RNAcentral lists this long non-coding RNA (435 nucleotides) under Canis lupus familiaris (dog). RNAcentral's name for it is "lncRNA (ENSCAFG00845029308.1)". Lineage: Eukaryota; Metazoa; Chordata; Mammalia; Carnivora; Canidae. The record is from RNAcentral.
CAGGGAAAGAAAUGAUCAAACUGGUGGCCCUGGAUGGUACAUGGACUAAAGCCAAGAUCUGUCUACUCCUAGGCUAUAUAAGGUCUAUGGAAUUUCUCUGAAUUUGCUCUCUGGUUGGUUUGGGUGCUCCAGGAAGAAAGCUACCCCAGGUGGUUGGAAACAGAAAAGUUACUGCUGGGAAGACUAGAAGCCAUAGAUUUCUAGAAGUGUUCUCUCACCCCACCCCUUACAUAAGAGCAUCCAUUGAUUCAUACUGAAAGCAGCCACUACAAGGUUCAACAGGAUCAGCCAAGUGGAUCUUCUUCAGACAGCUAGAUAAUUCUCAGGAUGACAAACUGUUAGACCUGGAUGGGAGCCUAAUCAUCACCUAAUUGAACCUCUUCUUCCGCAAAGAAAAAUGAAGCUCACAGAUGUUAAGUGAUAGAUCUAAUUAAU